GACGAACGCUGGCGGCGUGCUUAACACAUGCAAGUCGAACGGAAAGGCCCUGCUUUUUUGGGGUGCUCGAGUGGCGAACGGGUGAGUAACACGUGAGUAACCUGCCCUUGACUUUGGGAUAACUUCAGGAAACUGGGGCUAAUACCGGAUAGGAGCUCCUGCUGCAUGGUGGGGGUUGGAAAGUUUCGGCGGUUGGGGAUGGACUCGCGGCUUAUCAGCUUGUUGGUGGGGUAGUGGCUUACCAAGGCUUUGACGGGUAGCCGGCCUGAGAGGGUGACCGGCCACAUUGGGACUGAGAUACGGCCCAGACUCCUACGGGAGGCAGCAGUGGGGAAUAUUGCACAAUGGGCGGAAGCCUGAUGCAGCAACGCCGCGUGCGGGAUGACGGCCUUCGGGUUGUGAACCGCUUUCGCCUGUGACGAAGCGUGAGUGACGGUAAUGGGUAAAGAAGCACCGGCUAACUACGUG
Molecule: ribosomal RNA, 468 nt
Filed under: uncultured bacterium
Lineage: Bacteria
Description: partial 16S ribosomal RNA
Rfam family: Bacterial small subunit ribosomal RNA
Source: RNAcentral